GAUGAACGCUGGCGGCGUGCCUAAUACAUGCAAGUCGAGCGAACGGACCAGAAGCUUUCGUCUCUGAGUUUAUCGGCGGACGGGAGAUUAACACAUGUAUAACCUACCUAUAAGACUGGGAUAACUUCGGCAAACCGUGUCUAAUACCGGAUGAUAUUUUGCACCUCAUUGUUCAAGAGUUAGAGUCGGUCUUUCUGUCACUUAUAGAUGGAUCCGCGCUGCAUUAGCUAGUGGGUAAGGUAACUGCUUACCAAGGCAACGAUGCAUAGCCGACCUGAGAGGCGGAUAGGCAAAGCUGGAAUUGGGACACGGUCAAGCAUCCUACGGGAGGGAGCAGGAGGGAAUCGUCAGAAAUGGGAGCAAGCCGGACGGAGGAACGACGGGUGAGAGAUGAAGGUAUCAGGAUCGUAAAACUGUGUUAUUAGGGAAGAACAUAUGUGUAAGUAACUGUGGACAUCUUGAAGGUAACCAAUAAGAAAGCCACGGCCAAAUACGGG
This 497-nucleotide ribosomal RNA is filed under the name uncultured bacterium. RNAcentral's name for it is "partial 16S ribosomal RNA". It matches the Rfam family "Bacterial small subunit ribosomal RNA", at positions 28 to 507 of the family's 1533-position model. The record is from RNAcentral.